GGAAGAUUAAUACCGCAUAAGAUUGUAGUAUCGCAUGAUAUAGCAAUUAAAGGAGCAAUCCGCUAUAAGAUGGACCCGCGUCGCAUUAGCUAGUUGGUGAGGUAAUGGCUCACCAAGGCGACGAUGCGUAGCCGACCUGAGAGGGUGAUCGGCCACAUUGGGACUGAGACACGGCCCAGACUCCUACGGGAGGCAGCAUG
This 200-nucleotide ribosomal RNA is filed under the name uncultured bacterium. RNAcentral's name for it is "partial 16S ribosomal RNA". It matches the Rfam family "Bacterial small subunit ribosomal RNA", at positions 157 to 353 of the family's 1533-position model. The record is from RNAcentral.